GGAAAAUGACAAACGACAGCUGUGAAUGGAGGUAGAGUCUGCAGCUCCUCGUGCAGAUUUGGCACUAGCUAUCCAAACACAUUUCUUCACGUGUCUUCAAGCUGGUUUAAAUGAACGGGUCUCCCGCUGACAGACAGAUUCUUGAAUGGCUGAUGGUCAGAAUAAAGAGACGCAGAUGUGGACAAUUAUCUUGGCACUCACUCAUGCGCGCUGCAUGCGUCCCUCGCCGGGUCUCUGAGGACAGGGGCUGCUGAUGAAGCCGUGGGAUCGCCCCCCCUGGAAAAGAUCACACCUGCGUGGAGGCUUCUGCCCGGCCCUUGCAGGGCGCUUGUGUGCGAGUGGAGACGAGUGACGGAGAUGAACUAUCUUUGCUGAAAAGGUUAGCGGAUGUGCAUCAGCAUGGAAAAACAAUCCAGGGUAUGUCUCCGCGCCUCCUCCGCAUGCUAGAAAAACACCAUCUUCUGUAUAUGAAAUGUCUUUUUCCUUGAAUAAAACCGAGUUGGGGUGGGGGCUCGGGUGU
Molecule: long non-coding RNA, 520 nt
Organism: Puntigrus tetrazona (Sumatra barb)
Lineage: Eukaryota; Metazoa; Chordata; Actinopteri; Cypriniformes; Cyprinidae
Exons: 3
Source: RefSeq, a predicted model, not a curated record